AGAGUUUGAUCAUGGCUCAGGACGAACGCUGGCGGCGUGCCUAAUACAUGCAAGUCGAGCGAGACUCUUCGGAGUCUAGCGGCGGACGGGUGAGUAACACGUGGGCAACCUGCCUGUAAGACUGGGAUAACACCGGGAAACCGGUGCUAAUACCGGAUAAUCCUUUUCUUCUCAUGAGGAAAAGCUGAAAGUCGGUUUCGGCUGACACUUACAGAUGGGCCCGCGGCGCAUUAGCUAGUUGGUGAGGUAACGGCUCACCAAGGCGACGAUGCGUAGCCGACCUGAGAGGGUGAUCGGCCACACUGGGACUGAGAUACGGCCCAGACUCCUACGGGAGGCAGCAGUAGGGAAUCUUCCACAAUGGACGAAAGUCUGAUGGAGCAACGCCGCGUGAGCGAUGAAGGCCUUCGGGUCGUAAAGCUCUGUUGUUAGGGAAGAACAAGUACCGGAGUAACUGCCGGUACCUUGACGGUACCUAACCAGAAAGCCACGGCUAACUACGUGCCAGCAGCCGCGGUA
This 519-nucleotide ribosomal RNA is filed under the name uncultured Bacillota bacterium. Its description in RNAcentral is "bacterial SSU rRNA". It matches the Rfam family "Bacterial small subunit ribosomal RNA", at positions 8 to 522 of the family's 1533-position model. Lineage: Bacteria; Bacillati; Bacillota. The record is from RNAcentral.